Long non-coding RNA from Grammomys surdaster, 474 nucleotides. RefSeq lists it as uncharacterized. The record is from RefSeq and is a predicted model, not a curated record. NCBI's taxonomy places the organism in Eukaryota, Metazoa, Chordata, Mammalia, Rodentia, Muridae. The transcript is spliced from 3 exons.
CUUAGCCUCCAUCCCCACUUACUCCUCUCCCAGUCCUGGGUUGGAUCCAGUAGCCUAGAGACUGGACUUUUUUUGAGAUCUCUAGGACCCUUUUGCCUCCAGGUCUGAUCCUUUCUGCCCCUCAGUCCAGACCUGGAUCAGGCAGCUCUGCUCUCCACCACAAGAGGGGGCAGGUUCCUCCUGGAAGCCCAAGGACAGGGAUGGGGGUUCAUGAAGGAGGCCAGGAGAGGCACACUACCUUAAUCCGAUCCACCAUCUUCUCUGCCAAUGCGUCCAGACUGAGAGCGCCCCCUCCAGGAGGACUGGAGGAGCAGCAGCCAGUACAAACUCCUCAAGGCAAGAGCAGCCUUCAUCCAGAUCCAGAUGUUCACUAAAUGUGCACAAGGGUCACACCUCAGGGCACGAUGGGACCAUAGGGACAGAGGACUGCCUGGGAGAUUCAGGCAGAGAUAAUAAAGUUGAUCUGGAAAGUGA